This 234-nucleotide long non-coding RNA is filed under the name Olea europaea subsp. europaea. The record is from RNAcentral. Lineage: Eukaryota; Viridiplantae; Streptophyta; Magnoliopsida; Lamiales; Oleaceae.
ACCUUAACUAUUUCUUCAACCUUCAAAAGCCUUUCAAAAAGCUUCUUGAUUUUUUGUGUGUUAAAAAAAAAAAAAAAAAAAAAGAAUUUCUGAUUUUGGGCUGCAGAGUCUAGCCUAUUUCUCCCUUACUACACCAUAAAAUUCUCCUUUCCUUCAUCCUAUUUCCUUUUUAAAGUUCCUAUCUGUUGGGUUGUGGGUAUUGAAUUUUGAAUCUGUCUCUUGCUUGCAAAAGAU